GGGUAAGUCUUGCACAACCAGCUCCCAUUAAAACUCCCCAGGACCGGAAGGUAGCAAGGAUAGGUGGUCGUAGCGGUGUGAUGUAAGUAGCUUGCCCUUU
This 100-nucleotide signal recognition particle RNA is filed under the name Flavobacteriales bacterium. RNAcentral describes it as "signal recognition particle sRNA small type". It matches the Rfam family "Bacteroidales small SRP". Rfam says of the family: The non-coding component of the signal recognition particle in Bacteroides The record is from RNAcentral. Lineage: Bacteria; Pseudomonadati; Bacteroidota; Flavobacteriia; Flavobacteriales.